UUUUGCGAUUGAUAGAUUUUCAUCAGUUUGUGAUAAAAUCAUGAGAUAGCUAGUAAGUUCUAGACCUCAUCUUUUUGUUUUUUUGUUUUUUUGUUUGCUUUGCAGAGGUGAGGCUGUGUGGAGGUGUCCACAGGUGAGUAUCGGUUUGGUGCCUGCUGAGAACAGAGAUAGGCUUUAAAGUGGUGAAAAUGGAUAACAUGUUUUUGUCCCUUGCAGUGGUGGACCCGGGAGCCAGCCUCCUUCCUCGGCUCAGCUGUGCGACUUGGCCAUCUCUAAUUAUGCCUGCUCUCCGGUAAGUCUUCCAUGAACGGUGCACCUGAAUGCCUGUCCUUGCAAAUACUCCCAUUUCUCUGACUGCACAAAUCUGCCCACUUCUUUCAAGGUUGCAUCCUCCCUGUCCUCUGACGCCCUCGUCACACUGCUGACUUGCAAGGUGCCGAGCAGCGUGAACAGCAGCGCAGAGACGUGGAAGCUUUUCUUCCAGAAAGUCGCGGGAGUUCUGGAGGUUGCUCUGUCAGCGUACUCCAACAACGUGAGUGACACCCCUGCUUUCUGGAACAGGAGAUGGAGUGCUGUCUCUGGGCUCUACAUUGAGAUAUGUCCCUUUGCUUUCACAGACCCUCGGUGGCCAUCAGCCUGAGUCCCGUGUUCUCGAUGCCAUUGGAGAGGUGAAAGUCAACAACUUCAGCGCCGCACAACUGGCAGAUGUCAGCUUCAUUACCGACUGGUUCCAGGGAAGGCUGAGACCAUUCUUGCCUGCAGUCUCCAGGGACUUCCUGUCCUGCCUUAGCUCCAAGAACUUCAGUUGCGACACCUACCAAGUUGUGGUGCAGGCUCUAAGUCGUCAAGCGUCCCUCAUGGAGGUGGGGCAACAACGGGUCGUCUUCACUGAAUUUGUCAAUCCCUUCCUCUCGAGAGACGACCUACCAGAUCCUGCCUGUCUUGCCAAUACUACGAGCAGCGCUGACUGGCUGGAGAAGAACUUUGGCAACUUCUCCGUCUACGCUACCUUGGAGGACUUGCAAAGGCUGAAUGAAAAUUUCUCCAGCGUGAGUAGCCUUUGGCUUGCUCCAGUUGCCCAUGUGAAUUGUCAUUAUUUUAGGAAUGUAUUUUUGAUCUGA
Cyprinus carpio carpio is the source of this 1121-nucleotide long non-coding RNA. The record is from Ensembl. NCBI's taxonomy places the organism in Eukaryota, Metazoa, Chordata, Actinopteri, Cypriniformes, Cyprinidae.